CCUACGGGAGGCUGCAGUGAGGAAUAUUGGUCAAUGGUCGCGAGCCUGAACCAGCCAAGCCGCGUGAGGGAUGAAGGCCCUGAGGAUUGUAAACUUCUUUUGUAAGGGAAUAAAGACAGGGACGUGUCCCUUGUUGAGUGUACCUGAUGAAUAAGGAUCGGCUAACUCCGUGCCAGCAGCCGCGGUAAUACGGAGGAUCCGAGCGUUAUCCGGAUUUAUUGGGUUUAAAGGGAGCGUAGGGGGGUUGUUAAGUCAGUGGUGAAAGGUUGGGGUUCAACCGUGAAAUUGCAUUUGAUACUGGCAGUCUCGAGUACAGUAGAGGUAGGCGGAAUUCGUGGUGUAGCGGUGAAAUGCUUAGAUAUCACGAAGAACUCCGAUUGCGAAGGCAGCUUGC
RNAcentral lists this ribosomal RNA (394 nucleotides) under uncultured bacterium. RNAcentral's name for it is "partial 16S ribosomal RNA". It matches the Rfam family "Bacterial small subunit ribosomal RNA", at positions 338 to 729 of the family's 1533-position model. The record is from RNAcentral.